GUGUUGUUUGACCUGUGUGGGUAUUUUAGAGAAGUGAGUGCAAAAGUCCUAUACAUCAGUGAUCUUGAGAAGUUGGAGGAGCGAAUCAUAAUGACAUUAUGUCAUAUGGAGAGAAUAUUCGCACCAGGUUUUUUCACCGUUAUGGUGCAUUUGGUUAUGCAUCUAGCAACAGAGGCAAAAAUAGGUGGUCCAGUGUGCUACCGUUCGAUGUGGUUUGUGGAAAGGUAUAUAGGUAAGCUGAAGUCAAAUGUCCGUAACAAAGCUCAUCCUGAAGGAUCUAUCGCUGAAGCAUUUUUGGCAGAUGAGUGCAUGACAUUCUGUUCAAGAUAUAUUGUCGGUUUUGAGAUCAAACAUAACUUGCCUUCGCAGAAUGAAGAUAACGAGGAGUGGGUUGGGCACCAUGAUAAUGCACAUGGAUCAAGAUUAUUUCCUCAUUCUGGCAAUCCACUUGGAAAGCCUAGGAAUUGUGUA
Molecule: ribosomal RNA, 471 nt
Filed under: Triticum aestivum (bread wheat)
Lineage: Eukaryota; Viridiplantae; Streptophyta; Magnoliopsida; Poales; Poaceae
Description: partial small subunit ribosomal RNA
Source: RNAcentral